Molecule: RNA transcript, 3775 nt
Organism: Anastrepha ludens (Mexican fruit fly)
Lineage: Eukaryota; Metazoa; Arthropoda; Insecta; Diptera; Tephritidae
Gene: byn
Gene name: T-related protein
Exons: 8
Source: RefSeq, a predicted model, not a curated record
GCGCAUCACUGAAGACGGACGCUUGUGAUGGCUGAAAAAAUUAGCACCGAUCAUUAGCUUGGUAGUGCGCAAACGGGUGUGAAGUCUGAAAAAAAAGUGGUGCGAAUAACGCGAAUGCGAUCGCGAGCGCAGAGGUGACCGCAGAGUGACCAAAAUAAGCUAAAUAGUGAAAAGUUAGAAAACAGCCAAAAUACAAAUAGUAAAUAAAGGCAAAAAAACCUACCGAAAACGUUAUAUUUAUUUAAUGAGGUAAUAAGGAUAUACCAUACUUGUGUACAAAAGUGUUGUAACUGUAAAGAAAUUCAAAGGGGUUUGAAAUACAUACAAAAAUUUACAUUAAAAAGUCGUGGUUCGAAAACACCGUAUACUCUAAGUGUUUGGCGAAUAUUUUAUAGGAAAUACCGACACUACAUAAUUUGUUACAAAGCCAAACGAUUUCUGGAGCAAUAAAUUAUUAUCAAGGUGAUUCAAAUUGGGCUGUUCGGACGUGAUGACCACCUCGCACAUUUUGUCUGCUGUCGAUCCGGCUGGUAUGAGCGGCUCAACAAACCAUAACAACAACAACACCAUGGCGAAUAUUAGUAGUGAUAACACCAGUGUUGCCGGCCAACAUCAUAAUGCCAACAGCAACAGCAAUGGCGGACACUCAAGAGCGCCUUCGCCGCAACAUAUACAUCAUAACAUAGCUGCCAGCAGCAGCGGCAAUGGGGGUCGUGGUGUUGGCAUUGGCAUUGGCGUAGGCAGCGGCAUGAGCGGCAGCAUAAAUCCUCUCGGCGCACCACUGGCGGCAAAUCGGAGUCCCGGCAUGGAGAGAAAUCUACAUGUCAGCCUCGAUGAUCGUGAACUGUGGCUACGCUUUCAGAAUCUCACCAAUGAAAUGAUCGUUACGAAAAACGGCAGACGCAUGUUUCCGGUGGUCAAGAUUAGCACUUCCGGUCUGGAUCCAGCUGCCAUGUACACAGUUCUGCUGGAGUUCGUGCAGGUGGAUACACAUCGCUGGAAGUAUGUUAACGGCGAGUGGUGUCAUGCGGAUUAUCCUCAGGUUCCCGGUGGCAAGGCGGAGGUACCCCCUGCGAAUCCCAUCUACGUGCAUCCCGAGUCACCGAAUUUCGGCGCUCACUGGAUGAAGGAGCCGAUUUCGUUUGCGAAAGUGAAGUUGACGAAUAAAACGAAUGGGAAUGGUCAGAUUAUGCUGAACUCCUUGCAUAAGUAUGAGCCGCGUGUGCAUUUGGUGCGUGUGGGCUCAGAACAGCGCCAUGUGGUCACUUAUGCCUUUCCGGAGACACAAUUCAUUGCGGUGACCGCCUAUCAGAAUGAAGAGGUCACCUCGUUGAAGAUCAAAUACAACCCAUUUGCAAAAGCCUUUCUAGAUGCAAAGGAGCGUCCCGACACAUUGUACUCGCACGAGACACCUUACGGCUGGUUAAUACCACCACCGACUCAUUAUACUAGCGUUGCACAAGCGCCCCCACCACCGCCACCCAGUUUGGCAGUGUCAAAUUCUCCGCUGGGCAUGGGUUGUGACCGCUAUGGACGUGCUCUCGGUAGCCGCGGAACACAUGGAACACGCGCCUCGCCGUACACUCGACCGCGACUUGUUUCGAGCACAUCUGGCACCAACUCGCCAGGCCCUGGCAGUGGUGGUGUGAUGAAUGGUAGCACCGGCAGCGCUUCGCCACCACAGCAGCCGCCUUCAGCUCCACAUACUCCAACUAGCAUACAAUCCACACACACCACCAAUUUGGGCGUCGCCGCCAGCAAUGUUGGCAUGACCAGCUCAGCAAAUGCAGUCGGCUCUUUUUCAGGCUUUUCCAGUUCCUAUACGCAAUCCAGUUUUAUGCCGGUAGAGCCGAGUUCCUCAAUGCUUUCAUACGCGGGUACUUGGCAGAGCAAUGGCGGUUAUUGGAGUUCACCAGCGCCGGUGACCGGCGUGCCACCAACAGCAGUACCGGUGAAUGCCAGUCAAGGCAGCAACGUUGGCCGAUCGAUGAGUUCUGCACACAAUUCUCCAUCGCCAACAAAUGGAGGUUCACCCAAUUACACCAGUCCUUCUCCUGGCUACACCAUUCACCAUCUCACACCUCAUCCUUCCCAUCAAUAUAAUGUGGCACAAACGGCGGCAGCUGCAGCACAUGCAGUGGAUAUGUACCAGAACGCCACGCCCGCACAGUCCUACGCUGCGCCCCCUACGCAUCAAGUGUACCAUCCAACGCCCACCUCCCCCACGCACCAGCUGUACACGAACGUAUUGAAUGCGCCAACGGCGUUGAGCUAUGCGGGCAGCUCCUGGCAUAACGGCGGCGGCGCGGAAUACGGACUGUAUCAGAAUGCAGCUUACGGCUAUCAACCGGAGUAUAUCCCGUUGUUGUCUGAUUUGGGCUACACCUCGCAUCCGCUUGAACCCGUCGAAGUUUCAAAAACUCUCGAAGAUUCGCAGGCCGCCAUCUACAAGUCGCCUCAGCAAACUGGCAGUGACGGCGGCAGCAGCUCAGUGCUUACUUUGGAAUGCACCAACUUAAAGGCACAGUCGCCUUCGGUUGCUGUGAAAUUGGAGGCCAUCGACAGCGUAGUCACACCCAGUCAUGAGCGCAGCUCAGCGGCUGCAAGUGCGACGGCCACAUCGGUUGUAACUGCUAGCCCGAACACGCCAGGCGGUGCGUGGACGCCGCUCACCCCACCACAGAGUGCGCUGCAGUAGACGAUUAGAAAGUGGACACAGAGCCUUCAGAAGCAAAUUUGUUCAAAUUAAUAUUCGCACGACUGAAGUGAGACUGUGUGGCGCUUUUUUCUGCAGAAGUAAUACGUCUUCCCAACAGGAGAUGGAAGAAUUCAUUUACUGUCGCCGCGGCAAUUACUCUACCAUAUGAACAGUUGAACACUAGGAGGGUGAAGAUUAUUAGACACAUUACGAAUUUAUGCGAUGCGUCAUCAGAAAAUAAAAAUUCUUUUUUUUACUCCAUUUUCAAGUAGAUGCCUUUGAAAUUUCGAAAUAUAUCAUGACUAUUUAUUUCCAUGAGUUAGCUAUAGUUUAAUAAAAAAGGUAAUAUGUAACAUCACUGAUCGGACAACGUACAUGUUUACAUAAAUUAGUAGGUAUAUAUGUAUGUAUGUAUGUAUGUGCGGGCAUGCGUUCUUUCAAAAGCGAAUUAAAAAUUGAUAUACGGGUCUUAUCAACAAUUAGACUUAUCAAUGAGAUAAUAGAUUUAACAAAACACAGUUACGACAGUUUAAAUAACAAUUACAUAGAAUUAGGAGUAGAGCAUAGCCCAAGUGCCGCGAUUAAAUUCCAGAACAAACAAAUAAGUGAGGGCCAAAAUUCGGGCAUAACUGAACUUUACAUAAACGGCGUAUGUUUUUAGUGAAAUGUUAGCAGAGUAAAAUCACACAUAAUUUAUAUUUUCAUUUUUAAGGCUGUUAUAUGCUGACAUUGUGAAGUUGACCUUAAUAGACCUAGAUAUAAAAUAUAGAUAAAGAAAUUUAAAUUAGAAUAUAAAAUACAACAAAAUUAUUUGGCUUAGCGGUAGAAAUUCAAGGCUGAGUGUCGAAAACAAACUCAGGUUCUUAAACCAGUAUGGACCUAUGGCGUCCAGCUUUGGGGAUGCACAGCGAAAUGUACUGUUGAGAUGUUACAUCGCUUUCAAAUAUAUAUAUAAUUAACUUUUACUGUAAAAAAAUAGUCCUAUAUAUACAUAUAUACCUAGAAGUACAAAUAACAUCUUAUGGAGGGGCUGCUCUUUGAUUUCAACAACUACUUGAAGGUGGUUUGCUUAUGGGA